UACGUAGGGGGCAAGCGUUGUCCGGAAUCAUUGGGCGUAAAGCGCGUGUAGGCGGCCCGGUAAGUCCGCUGUAAAAGUCCAGGGCUCAACCCUGGAAGGCCGGUGGAUACUGUCGGGCUCGAGUCCGGAAGAGGCGAGUGGAAUUCCUGGUGUAGCGGUGAAAUGCGCAGAUAUCAGGAGGAACACCAAUGGCGAAGGCAGCUCGCUGGGACGGUACUGACGCUGAGACGCGAAAGCGUGGGGAGCGAACAGG
This 253-nucleotide ribosomal RNA is filed under the name uncultured bacterium. RNAcentral's name for it is "partial 16S ribosomal RNA". It matches the Rfam family "Bacterial small subunit ribosomal RNA", at positions 524 to 776 of the family's 1533-position model. The record is from RNAcentral.